CAAAGGUUUGGUCCUAGCCUUACUGUUAAUUCUUACUAGACCUACACAUGCAAGUAUCCGCAGUCCGGUGAAAAUACCCUUAAAACUGAAAUUAGUUUAAAGGAGUUGGUAUCAGGCACACUCUAACCAGUAGCCCAUGACACCUUGCUUGGCCACACCCCCACGGGAAACAGCAGUGACUAACAUUGAGCAAUAAACGAAAGUUUGACUAAAUCAUAGUAUAGAGGGGUGGUAAAUUUCGUGCCAGCCGCCGCGGUCAUACGAUUAACCCAAAUUAACAGAAGAACGGCGUAAAGGGUGUUUAAGCAACCAACAUAAUAAAGUUAAAGCUCGACCAUACUGUCAUACGCAAGAGUCGAAACUAAAAUACUCAACUAACGUGACUUUACCCACUGCUGAGGACACCAAAGCCAAGGUACAAACUGGGAUUAGAGACCCCACUAUGCUUGGCCGUAAACCUAGGUAAUUCAAUAACGAAAUUACUCGCCAGAGAACUACUAGCCAUCGCUUAAAACUCAAAGGACUUGGCGGUGCCCUAAACCCUCCUAGAGGAGCCUGUUCUAUAAUCGAUAAACCACGAUACACCUCACCCUCUCUAGCUAGCAGUCUAUAUACCGCCAUCGUCAGCUCACCCCAAUAGGGAUCAAAAGUGAGCGCAACCAUCUAACUCAUAAAAACGUUAGGUCAAGGUGUAGCAUAUGGAAGGGGAAGCAAUGGGCUACAUUUUCUAACUUAGAACACAACGAAUUGUCUAUUGAAACAAAGAUAUGAAGGCGGAUUUAGAAGUAAAUUAAGAAUAGAGAGCUUAAUUGAAAUAGGCAAUAGGGUGCGCACACACCGCCCGUCACCCUCCUCGAUAAAGUGCACAAAACUAUAACUAAUAACUCAACGUUACAAAGAGGAGAAAAGUCGUAACAUGGUAAGUGUACUGGAAAGUGUACUUGGAUAA
This 949-nucleotide non-coding RNA is filed under the name Myrmecobius fasciatus (numbat). RNAcentral describes it as "12S ribosomal RNA". It matches the Rfam family "Bacterial small subunit ribosomal RNA". Lineage: Eukaryota; Metazoa; Chordata; Mammalia; Dasyuromorphia; Myrmecobiidae. The record is from RNAcentral.